This 487-nucleotide ribosomal RNA is filed under the name uncultured bacterium. RNAcentral describes it as "bacterial SSU rRNA". It matches the Rfam family "Bacterial small subunit ribosomal RNA", at positions 266 to 766 of the family's 1533-position model. The record is from RNAcentral.
UACCAAGGCGACGACGGGUAGCCGGCCUGAGAGGGUGACCGGCCACACUGGGACUGAGAUACGGCCCAGACUCCUACGGGAGGCAGCAGUGGGGAAUAUUGCACAAUGGCGCAAGCCUGAUGCAGCGACGCCGCGUGAGGGAUGACGGCCUUCGGGUUGUAAACCUCUUUCAGCACAGACGAAGCGCAAGUGACGGUAUGUGCAGAAGAAGGACCGGCCAACUACGUGCCAGCAGCCGCGGUAAUACGUAGGGUCCGAGCGUUGUCCGGAAUUACUGGGCGUAAAGAGCUCGUAGGUGGUUUGUCGCGUUGUCCGUGAAAACUCACAGCUCAACUGUGGGCGUGCGGGCGAUACGGGCAGACUGGAGUACUGCAGGGGAGACUGGAAUUCCUGGUGUAGCGGUGGAAUGCGCAGAUAUCAGGAGGAACACCGGUGGCGAAGGCGGGUCUCUGGGCAGUAACUGACGCUGAGGAGCGAAAGCGUGGGG